Molecule: long non-coding RNA, 771 nt
Filed under: Monodelphis domestica (gray short-tailed opossum)
Lineage: Eukaryota; Metazoa; Chordata; Mammalia; Didelphimorphia; Didelphidae
Description: lncRNA (ENSMODG00000044689.1)
Source: RNAcentral
UUCUGUUAGGAAACUUUUUUUCCCCUUGAGUUGUUAAAGUUAUUACACAAAGGCAAAAUUAGAACAUUUUCUGGACUCAACCUUGAACAGAUAAGAUCAUGCAGUUGAUAGAGCCGGAUAGAUGGUUGGAAGAGCUUUCUUACCGAUAAGGUAUUGGAUAAAAGCUUUACAGAUGACUCCAAAGUCAAUGUGGAAGGCAAUGAGGAGGAUCUUUCCAAGAGAUGAAGCAAUAAGAUAAAGAAAAAAGGAACCAUUAAUUGGCCUGGAAAAAGAUAGAGGAAGCAGAUAACAUCAAUCACUUGGGAAUGGUAUGAAUAACCAUCACAUGAAACCAGAUGACAUCAUGCAAUAUGUUUAUCAUUACUUCUCACAUACAUUAUGUGUUAUUGUAGCUUGUGAACCACAAGGAAGACAAUAACCAAGAAGCAACAAGACACUAGAAUGAACAGGGCAGGGGAGAAUUUGAAUACUAUAAAAUUCUAAAUGCCAAAUAAGAAUUUGAAUAAUAAUACUAAAUGAGAAUAUUAAAAUCCUAAAUAAGAAUACUAAAAAAGAAAUGUCAGUGAGCACUGAUACACAUAUUAGAUGCUAUCAUUCAUCUCAUUUGUCUUCUAUUAGUCUAACAUCCUGAAGCAAUGAACAGAGCUUCCAGAGGUCAGGAACCAUAUCUGUUUAAACUAGUUGCUUUGGCGCUCAAUAUAGCACCACUGUGAGGGGGAGGCCAUAUCUUAUCUCAGUUUCCCAGCUUUCUCAACAUUUAGAGUUCUCCAU